This 301-nucleotide ribosomal RNA is filed under the name uncultured bacterium. Its description in RNAcentral is "partial 16S ribosomal RNA". It matches the Rfam family "Bacterial small subunit ribosomal RNA", at positions 509 to 807 of the family's 1533-position model. The record is from RNAcentral.
CAGUAGCCGCGGUAAUACGUAGGGUGCGAGCGUUAAUCGGAAUUACUGGGCGUAAAGCGUGCGCAGGCGGUUAUAUAAGACAGAUGUGAAAUCCCCGGGCUCAACCUGGGACCUGCAUUUGUGACUGUAUAGCUAGAGUACGGUAGAGGUGGAUGGAAUUCCGCGUGUAGCAGUGAAAUGCGUAGAUAUGCGGAGGAACACCGAUGGCGAAGGCAAUCCCCUGGACCUGUACUGACGCUCAUGCACGAAAGCGUGGGGAGCAAACAGGAUUAGAGACCCCAGUAGUCCCUGUCUCUUAUAC